GGACGAACGCUGGCGGCGCGCCUAACACAUGCAAGUCGAACGAGCGAGAGAGAGCUUGCUUUCUCGAGCGAGUGGCGAACGGGUGAGUAACGCGUGAGGAACCUGCCUCAAAGAGGGGGACAACAGUUGGAAACGACUGCUAAUACCGCAUAAGCCCACGGCUCGGCAUCGAGCAGGGGGAAAAGGAGCAAUUCGCUUUGAGAUGGCCCCGCGUCCGAUUAGCUAGUUGGUGGGGUAACGGCCCACCAAGGCGACGAUCGGUAGCCGGACUGAGAGGUUGAACGGCCACAUUGGGACUGAGACACGGCCCAGACUCCUACGGGAGGCAGCAGUGGGGAAUAUUGCACAAUGGGGGAAACCCUGAUGCAGCGACGCCGCGUGGAGGAAGAAGGUCUUCGGAUUGUAAACUCCUGUUGUUGGGGAAGAUAAUGACGGUACCCAACAAGGAAGUGACGGCUAACUACGUG
Molecule: ribosomal RNA, 467 nt
Filed under: uncultured bacterium
Lineage: Bacteria
Description: partial 16S ribosomal RNA
Rfam family: Bacterial small subunit ribosomal RNA
Source: RNAcentral